CAAAUAUGAGACUGUCCUGCAAUAGAGGCUUGCAGGUCAUCAUAGUUCUUGAAAAUUGAAGUCAACAGAUGCCCUGCUCUCUCACACCUUCCCAUCAUCACGUUAUCACCCGUAUUUCUCCUUAUUCAGGAAUGAUCUCAUUAUCAACUGUGCCAGCCUGAUUAAGGGAACACUUGAGUAAAUUCAACUGGUGCCUAGAAGAAACUGCUUCCUUGGCUUCAGAAAAUAAAAACAUUCCUGAAAUUAUUAUGAG
Molecule: long non-coding RNA, 253 nt
Organism: Phasianus colchicus (ring-necked pheasant)
Lineage: Eukaryota; Metazoa; Chordata; Aves; Galliformes; Phasianidae
Source: RefSeq, a predicted model, not a curated record